Long non-coding RNA from Pteronotus mesoamericanus, 388 nucleotides. RefSeq lists it as uncharacterized. The record is from RefSeq and is a predicted model, not a curated record. The transcript has 3 exons. NCBI's taxonomy places the organism in Eukaryota, Metazoa, Chordata, Mammalia, Chiroptera, Mormoopidae.
CAGGAUGGAACAGCCUGCAGUCCUUGAUUUCCCUGGUUACACCUUGCACAUUCCUUUGGUAUGUGGUCUUCAGAGGUUAUUGAGGUGGUUGUGGAUAAAUCUGCAUAAAGAUCACAGAGCUUCUUGGGAGAGGAAGAGAGGAUGGAAAUCUUCCCUUGUUCCAUUGGAGAGCUGCUGCAGAUGAAGAGCCUGAGGUUCAUGGGCAGGGAAAGGACUCUCCAGUGUGUUCUGCUGCAAGUAACAGCAACUCAAACCAGCAGUAACUUAGCAAAAUAAGAAGAGGAGGAAGAGAAAUUGCUAUUUCCCUCUCCUAUACAAGCCUGGAGCCACCUACGAAGCAGGUACUAUUAUGGUCAUUCUUAUUUGACCGAAGAAGAAACCGAGGCAC